UACGUAGGGUGCAAGCGUUGUCCGGAAUUAUUGGGCGUAAAGAGCUUGUAGGCGGUUUGUCGCGUCUGCUGUGAAAUUUCGGGGCUCAACCCCGAACUUGCAGUGGGUACGGGCAGACUAGAGUGUGGUAGGGGAGACUGGAAUUCCUGGUGUAGCGGUGAAAUGCGCAGAUAUCGGGAAGAACACCGGUGGCGAAGGCGGGUCUCUGGGCCGAUACUGACGCUGAGGAGCGAAAGCGUGGGGAGCGAACAGG
This 253-nucleotide ribosomal RNA is filed under the name uncultured bacterium. Its description in RNAcentral is "partial 16S ribosomal RNA". It matches the Rfam family "Bacterial small subunit ribosomal RNA", at positions 524 to 776 of the family's 1533-position model. The record is from RNAcentral.